AAUAGAUACCCAGGUAGUCCACGCCGUAAACGAUGAGUGCUAAGUGUUAGGGGGUUCCCGCCCCUUAGUGCUGCAGCUAACGCAUUAAAGCACUCCGCCUGGGGAGUACGGUCGCAAGACUGAAACUCAAAGGAAUUGACGGGGGCCCGCACAAGCGGUGGAGCAUGUGGUUUAAUUCGAAGCAACGCGAAGAACCUUACCAGGUCUUGACAUCCCAUUGACCACUAUGGAGACAUAGUUUUCCCUUCGGGGACAACGGUGACAGGUGGUGCAUGGUUGUCGUCAGCUCGUGUCGUGAGAUGUUGGGUUAAGUCCCGCAACGAGCGCAACCCUUGUUCUUAGUUGCCAUCAUUUAGUUGGGCACUUCUAAGGAGACUGCCGGUGACGAAACCGGAGGAAGGUGGGGAUGACGUCAAAUCAUCAUGCCCCUUAUGACCUGGGCUACGCACGUGCUACAAUGGGUGGUACAGAGGUUGCCAAGCCGUGAGGUGGAGCUAAUCCCUUAAAGCCAUUCUCAGUUCGGAUUGUAGGCUGAAACUCGCCUA
This 545-nucleotide ribosomal RNA is filed under the name uncultured bacterium. RNAcentral describes it as "bacterial SSU rRNA". It matches the Rfam family "Bacterial small subunit ribosomal RNA", at positions 777 to 1318 of the family's 1533-position model. The record is from RNAcentral.